RNAcentral lists this ribosomal RNA (585 nucleotides) under uncultured Desulfobulbus sp. Its description in RNAcentral is "bacterial SSU rRNA". It matches the Rfam family "Bacterial small subunit ribosomal RNA", at positions 341 to 916 of the family's 1533-position model. The record is from RNAcentral. Lineage: Bacteria; Pseudomonadati; Thermodesulfobacteriota; Desulfobulbia; Desulfobulbales; Desulfobulbaceae.
ACGGGAGGCAGCAGUGAGGAAUAUUGCGCAAUGGGGGCAACCCUGACGCAGCGACGCCGCGUGAGUGAGGAAGGCCUUCGGGUCGUAAAGCUCUGUCAAGAGGGAAGAAAUGCAUGGUGGUUAAUAUCUGUCAUGUUUGACGGUACCUCUAAAGGAAGCACCGGCUAACUCCGUGCCAGCAGCCGCGGUAAUACGGAGGGUGCAAGCGUUGUUCGGAAUCACUGGGCGUAAAGGGCGCGCAGGCGGCCUGAUCAGUCAGAUGUGAAAGCCCACGGCUUAACCGUGGAAGUGCAUUUGAAACUGUCAGGCUUGAGUACCAGAGGGGAAAGUGGAAUUCCCGGUGUAGAGGUGAAAUUCGUAGAUAUCGGGAGGAAUACCGGUGGCGAAGGCGACUUUCUGGCCGGAUACUGACGCUGAGGCGCGAAAGCGUGGGGAGCAAACAGGAUUAGAUACCCUGGUAGUCCACGCUGUAAACGAUGUGCACUAGAUGUAGGGGGUGUUGAUCCCCUCUGUGUCGCAGCUAACGCAUUAAGUGCACCGCCUGGGGAGUACGGUCGCAAGAUUAAAACUCAAAGGAAUUGACGG